UACGGAGGGGGCAAGCGUUGUUCGGAGUUACUGGGCGUAAAGCGCACGUAGGCGGUGCGGUAAGUCAGGGGUUAAAGGCUGCAGCUCAACUGCAGUAAGGCCUUUGAUACUAUCGUGCUAGAGUGUCAGAGAGGAUGGCGGAAUUCCCGGUGUAGCGGUGAAAUGCGUAGAUGUCGGGAGGAACACCAGUAGCGAAGGCGGCCAUCUGGCUGGUAACUGACGCUGAGGUGCGAGAGCGUGGGGAGCAAACAGG
This 253-nucleotide ribosomal RNA is filed under the name uncultured microorganism. RNAcentral's name for it is "partial 16S ribosomal RNA". It matches the Rfam family "Bacterial small subunit ribosomal RNA", at positions 524 to 776 of the family's 1533-position model. The record is from RNAcentral.